Molecule: ribosomal RNA, 440 nt
Filed under: uncultured bacterium
Lineage: Bacteria
Description: partial 16S ribosomal RNA
Rfam family: Bacterial small subunit ribosomal RNA
Source: RNAcentral
CCUACGGGUGGCAGCAGUGGGGGAUAUUGCACAAUGGGGGAAACCCUGAUGCAGCGACGCCGCGUGUGGGAAGACGGUCUUCUGGAUUGUAAACCACUGUCCCCAGGGACGAAAAUGACGGUACCUGGGGAGGAAGCUCCGGCUAACUACGUGCCAGCAGCCGCGGUAAUACGUAGGGAGCAAGCGUUGUCCGGAAUUACUGGGUGUAAAGGGAGCGUAGGCGGGGAUGCAAGUUGGGUGUCAAAACUACCGGCUCAACCGAUAGUCGCACUCAAAACUGCAACUCUUGAGUGAAGUAGAGGCAGGCGGAAUUCCUAGUGUAGCGGUGAAAUGCGUAGAUAUUAGGAGGAACACCAGUGGCGAAGGCGGCCUGCUGGGCUUUGACUGACGCUGAGGCUCGAAAGUGUGGGGAGCAAACAGGAUUAGAUACCCUGGUAGUC